GUCGAACGUUGUUUUAGGGGAGCUGGGCAGAAGGAAAAGAGGCUCCUAGCUAAAGGUAGCUUGUCUCGCCCAGGAGGUGGGAACAGUUUAGAACAAAGUGGC
Molecule: ribosomal RNA, 102 nt
Filed under: Clematis sp. 'Nickrent 2910'
Lineage: Eukaryota; Viridiplantae; Streptophyta; Magnoliopsida; Ranunculales; Ranunculaceae
Description: partial small subunit ribosomal RNA
Source: RNAcentral